GAUAGAGGUGCGGUGCUGCGUGUAACAGAAAAGAGGCUGCCAGAGCUUUAGACUUUCUGCGAAUGGCUUUGCCGCCGAAAAGAAGGAUCCGGCACAUCCUUCUUUGGGCAUACAUUGAAACAUUGUAUGACUGUCAUCAUAGAAAUGCUUAUGAUGGGGCGCUAUCG
This 167-nucleotide non-coding RNA is filed under the name bovine gut metagenome. Its description in RNAcentral is "Lysine riboswitch". It matches the Rfam family "Lysine riboswitch aptamer". From Rfam's summary of the family: Riboswitches are metabolite binding domains within certain messenger RNAs that serve as precision sensors for their corresponding targets. Allosteric rearrangement of mRNA structure is mediated by ligand binding, and this results in modulation of gene expression. This family includes riboswitches that sense lysine in a number of genes involved in lysine metabolism, including lysC. The record is from RNAcentral.